UAAGGGUUACAGCCUUAUACAUGCAGUCGACGAACUCUGGUAUUGAUUGGUGCUUGCAUCAUGAUUUACAUUUGAGUGAGUGGCGAACUGGUGAGUAACACGUGGGAAACCUGCCCAGAAGCGGGGGAUAACACCUGGAAACAGAUGCUAAUACCGCAUAACAACUUGGACCGCAUGGUCCGAGCUUGAAAGAUGGCUUCGGCUAUCACUUUUGGAUGGUCCCGCGGCGUAUUAGCUAGAUGGUGGGGUAACGGCUCACCAUGGCAAUGAUACGUAGCCGACCUGAGAGGGUAAUCGGCCACAUUGGGACUGAGACACGGCCCAAACUCCUACGGGAGGCAGCAGUAGGGAAUCUUCCACAAUGGACGAAAGUCUGAUGGAGCAACGCCGCGUGAGUGAAGAAGGGUUUCGGCUCGUAAAACUCUGUUGUUAAAGAAGAACAUAUCUGAGAGUAACUGUUCAGGUAUUGACGGUAUUUAACCAGAAAGCCACGGCUAACUACGUGCCAGCAGCCGCGGUAAUACGUAGGUGGCAAGCGUUGUCCGGAUUUAUUGGGCGUAAAGCGAGCGCAGGCGGUUUUUUAAGUCUGAUGUGAAAGCCUUCGGCUCAACCGAAGAAGUGCAUCGGAAACUGGGAAACUUGAGUGCAGAAGAGGACAGUGGAACUCCAUGUGUAGCGGUGAAAUGCGUAGAUAUAUGGAAGAACACCAGUGGCGAAGGCGGCUGUCUGGUCUGUAACUGACGCUGAGGCUCGAAAGUAUGGGUAGCAAACAGGAUUAGAUACCCUGGUAGUCCAUACCGUAAACGAUGAAUGCUAAGUGUUGGAGGGUUUCCGCCCUUCAGUGCUGCAGCUAACGCAUUAAGCAUUCCGCCCGGGGAGUACGGCCCCAAGGCUGAAACUCAAAGGAAUUGACGGGGGCCCGCCCAAGCGGUGGAACCAGUGGGUUUAAUUCGAAGCUACCCGAAAAACCUUACCAGGCUUGGAAUACAAUGCAAAUCAAAAAAAUAAAACUUCCCUUCGGGACAUGGAUACGGGGGGGCCAGGGUUUCCCCCCUCCGGGCCCGGAAAUUUGGGUUAAAUCCCAAAAAAGGGGAACCCUUUAUUAAAUUUGCGCCACUUAAAUUUGGGCCCUCUGGAGAAAACGCCGGGGACACCGCGGAAAAGGGGGGGGGAAACCCAAAAAUAAAUGGCCCUAUAAAUUGGGGGACACCACUGCGCCAGAGGGGGGUGACAAGUAUUGGACACUCGCAAGAAAAGUAAUCUCUAUAAAGUCUCUUCCCUUUGGGAGGAGGGCGGCCGCCUCUCACAGAAAGAAAAGAACCUUCUCGCGUUAGAAGAGUGCCCGCGAUGAAAUUUCCGCCGGUUUUGAACCCCCCCGCCCCCACAAUUUUGGGCAACCAGCGGGGGUGAUUUAAUUUCCAUGGAAGA
RNAcentral lists this ribosomal RNA (1428 nucleotides) under Lactiplantibacillus plantarum. RNAcentral's name for it is "Lactobacillus plantarum partial 16S ribosomal RNA". It matches the Rfam family "Bacterial small subunit ribosomal RNA". The record is from RNAcentral. Lineage: Bacteria; Bacillati; Bacillota; Bacilli; Lactobacillales; Lactobacillaceae.